This 112-nucleotide transfer RNA is filed under the name Friedmanniomyces endolithicus. RNAcentral describes it as "tRNA-Gly". It matches the Rfam family "tRNA". From Rfam's summary of the family: Transfer RNA (tRNA) molecules are approximately 80 nucleotides in length. Their secondary structure includes four short double-helical elements and three loops (D, anti-codon, and T loops). Further hydrogen bonds mediate the characteristic L-shaped molecular structure. tRNAs have two regions of fundamental functional importance: the anti-codon, which is responsible for specific mRNA codon recognition, and the 3' end, to which the tRNAs corresponding amino acid is attached (by aminoacyl-tRNA synthetases). tRNAs cope with the degeneracy of the genetic code in two manners: having more than one tRNA (with a specific anti-codon) for a particular amino acid; and 'wobble' base-pairing, i.e. permitting non-standard base-pairing at the 3rd anti-codon position. Lineage: Eukaryota; Fungi; Ascomycota; Dothideomycetes; Mycosphaerellales; Teratosphaeriaceae. The record is from RNAcentral.
GCACUGGUGGUUUAGUGGUAAAAUUGGCGCUUGCCAUCUGAGUAAUGUGCGCGCGGCGCUUCCUACUCUUCGAAAGCUGCGCCAGCCCCGGGUUCGAUUCCCGGCCAAUGCA